Molecule: long non-coding RNA, 5028 nt
Organism: Solenopsis invicta (red fire ant)
Lineage: Eukaryota; Metazoa; Arthropoda; Insecta; Hymenoptera; Formicidae
Exons: 2
Source: RefSeq, a predicted model, not a curated record
GGUUAGAAAGAGUCGGAGGGAUAUCGCGCGGAGGACAGGAGUGGAGGAAGGGCAGACGAUAACGGAGGGAUGGAACGAGAGGGAUGGUACUGUCAGAGGGAUGGUACGUGUAAUACGUAUACCGAAAGGAAGACGAGAUGGAAGAAAAAAAGAGAAGGAGAAAGCAGGAAGAACGACCGUGAGAUAAAGGGGGGAGGAAGGCGAGAGGAAUCACAAAAUACGAGGAGGUGAAGGGGGAAUGUGGAAAUGCCGGCGGUAGUGGCUGUCCUCCACCGCGCUGUGUUGAACAACGAGACUAGUGGCGCUAGUGUUGCAUCGAUCAGCCGCCACCACCUGCAACCCUCUCCCGAAAUGGUCAACCCUCGAUCUCUCGUAGAACGGUGCGCGUUCUGCACAUCCGUUCAGCCCAUGCCGCUUAAUUCCAUCGUGAUCUUCAACCUCCUCCUCUUCCUCUUCCUCCUCGACUUCCCUCUGCCCAUCGUUUCCCUCGUCCUGCUUCUUACUCGCCACCCGAUCGACCGUGGGCUUGAUUUAUUAUUUUGUCGUUUGAGUUUUCGCCCCGUCAGCGAACGCUUUCGUGUGAACCAGCGCGUUUCGUAUCGUGCCAAUAGUGGUCAUCGUGAUUUGAUGGAAAACCAGGUGACCUCGAUCAGAAAAUUUGACAGCUCGAACCUUAGCACUUGGGCGAUCGUACGAAUAGAAUCGUAUACCGAAGUUGUGAGAUCACGUUAGGUAUUCUCGGACAGCUAUGGACCACAUCAGAUAAGUUGAAAAUGGAGAUGGAAAAGUGACAUAAGAUAUUACAGAACAUUGAACACCAAACGAACAGAUUUUUGUCGAGGGUCGAUUCUCAAGGGGUCCCGCAAGUGAAAAUUUAGGAUAGAGAACGGCUGACGUUUCCCAUAGUCGAUCCGUUCUUCUCUCAGUCUACGACGUCGUCCUCGAGGAUCGAUAACCUUGAAGGCGCCGUAGCAACGUGCUCCAGGGUUUUCGUACGAAUCCCCUGACGGAUUAUGGCGAUACGGAGUAUCACGGUGCGGGAAUACAGAAACGUCUUCCUAUUGGGAAAUUGUCCGACGGUAAAAUCACGUUAUUUCUUCUUUAACGUUAAAUUCACCGCGAUGAAAUUCGUUUCUAGAUCGCUUUCGGUUUUACGACAUGAUACCUAAACGAGGCGAGCAAAUAUAGCCUCGUAGAAAUACAGAAUUACGAGCUACCUUUUAUUUUAUAACACUUAAAUGACGCAAAUUCAGCACAAAAAAACAACAUGACUAUACUAAAAUUACAUCAAUUUAAAUAACAAUUACCUUAAAACAUUGCAAAAUCCUAAAAUAUAAUAUCUCAACAUUAUUUCGACAUGUUAGGGUUUUUUACAACAUUGCUACGUAGAACGUACAAUUUUAUUGCAGCGUCCAAAACUUUAGUUGGAUACGGAUCAGAAACAAUUUUAUGUUGGGCCAUCAAAAUAAUUAUGUAGGAUUACCAAGCACGAUGUAAUGUUGCUGCAAACACUUUUGACAUUCUAGCAACAAAGUUAAACAACCAACAAAAUUUUUUAAUUGGUUCAACAUAAUUAUCUUCAGAUCUCUAUUUCAGCAAAAUGUUGUGUAGUAACUCUUGGGGAAGCAAUACAUUUUCGAAGCGUUGUCCUACUUUUCGAAUUUCGCGACUAUUUUGUGCCAGGGCUUCCCAUUUGAUUGCUACUCUCAAAUUUCACGAUUACGCCCUUUCGAAACUUUGUUCGCGUUCGCGAAGCAAUAUUUCCGAAUGUCACACCCAAAUUUACAUUGCUGACGUGAACGACGUGGCUCGAUUCCGCGUAUGUGUCCAAACCGAAAUUCCGGACGUGUCUGGGAAGACGGUCAAUUCGAGAAACCAGACUAAUCGGAAUCCCUCGUCGCGCGGAGCCGGCUUAUCCACGUUUCCGCGCGAGAAACAUCUCGACGGCGCGACGCGGCACGUCCACCAUCGUCGUCGCUCUUCUCCCGUUUUGCUAUCCCUCUUGAAAAAGAAAUCCUCGGAGUGACCUCGGUUACGCGAUUUUGCUUUUGACAUCCUCGUCCUCGGGAGAAAAUUACAUCCCGACACGGAGAUAAUCCGAUCCCUACUCGCAGUAAUUAGUUUUAUUCCGAACGCUUGGGCAAACUAGGAUACUAAAUAUUCUGUAAUUUUGAAGCGAGAAUAUUGCAUCUCAAACGCAAAAUAAUUUCUGUUGUUACGGCUACAUCUUAUUGAGGUGAUUUACUAAGAUAAGUUUAUUAAAAACGAUAAUUUAUGGCGACAUUUCGUUAUAAAUUAUCGCAAUAAAUAAAAGAAAAAAAACUUUUUCUCACAAAAAAAACAUUGCGAUACAUUUGUAAUACAAUCCUACGCUAAUUAUAUUUUAGCUCACACAAAGUCAAAUAUAAUAAAAUGUGAUGAUUAACUUCAGUAACAAAAAUAAAAAGAAACAAAGUAAAUAAGAAGCGUACUUUAACGCUUCCAUAAAUCACGUUUUAAUAACUCGCGAAAGAGUUUCCGAGUUUUCAAGGAAACUUAGAAAUCAUUUAAUCAAAGUAAUCAAUUCCAAAACAUCCUUGCAUUCGCGGUUCGAAAUAUUUAAUUGGGAAAGUUUUCCCGCGUAUCUGGGAGAAAAAAGACUGCAGGAGUUGUGCAAAUCCCACGCGAUACGAUCAUCAAUCGUUAGAGAAUUAGUCGUCGAGUCUUGAAGAAGUUCGGAGCCUUAUCGCAGUACCAUAAUUAUCGGAGCUAUAGAUGAACGCUCGAGUAAAGUAAGUUAUUUAUCAGGGGAUUAAAUUCAACGCUGGGGAAAUGUCCAUCGGCGGGGAAUGCGAUUUCGCUCAAAUCUCUCGUUAUCGCUGUGAAAGAGCCCGGGAAUGGGAAGGCGGAAAAACAAGGAGCACUUUGCAGCACUUUAAAGUGCUUUCACGUCUCUCGGCUCACUUUGCAUUCGCAAACUUGCUUUAUCGAUGGUUACUUGUUCAUCUCAAUCGCCAGUAAGUUGCGAUGAAAAUAUUAUACGAAAAAUAUCUGUUCUAUUCAAAUAUCUAAGAAAAUUAUAGUUAAUAAGCUCACUUUGUUCUUUCCAUAGCAUAUCUUUUUUUUGCUUUGAUCUUUGAUAUCACAUUUUCCAUCAAAUGCGUGAAAGUCUCUUGCCCUCGUUCUCUUGCUAAAGUUCCCAUCAGAGCUAAACGAAUUAAAAACACGCAUUUCCUUUUUCCGUCAGUUUCGCUCAAUCCUAUUGGCCGCCCUGCCUAAAAUCACAUUCUUCGCUAAAUGGAAAUCAAUCGAACAGCGCUGUGUUCAUCCACAUCGCGUCACUUUGUUAAUUCUCGUCAUAUCGAACACUUCCCGCGAGAACAAGUUCUCCCUGUGCUCCGUUCGCCGUGCUCACACACAUAUGGUUUUUCGCACGGGCAAAGGGCGACAUGCACCGUUGCUUUUGCAAGUUGUGCGAAUCGGUCAAUGUCGGAGCCUCGACUAACAGCUGCGUGCGUAUUUAAGUGAAGCUAGGAUUCCGUCGGCUGAUUCUUAGACAUCAAAAUGACGAGGGUACAAAACAGAAUAGAGACCUACUUCUGUUAUCUUCAUCUUUUUAUUUUUUUUUUUAAUUAAAUUGCGGUUCCGACAUCUUAUAUUUAAUAUCGCACUGAGUCAUCUCUGAUUCCCUUCUUUUCUCCGAUUCUCUUCUUUUUUUUUCCUUCUGCCACUGUCGUCGUUCGGACCUGCUGUCCUCGACACAAUGACACUUUCGAAAAAGUUUAGUGGCGAGUCUGCUUCAGAUUGAAUUAUACACAUAUACCGAGGAGACCGAGAGUCUUUGUCGAGAAGGCUUGAUUCCUAUCGGGACACUAGGAGUAUACUCGAACAUAGAUCGACGGGUCAAGUUGUGCGCACACACAAAGUUGAUUCGAGAAUCGGGAAAAUUUUAUUCUCAUAUAUUUUUCAGCUUCGAAGGUAGAAUUUUGCCAUCGAGAUGUCCAAGAACUGAUCACGAAUGUCUCAUGACAAAGGUCUUCGGUAGACAAAAUUCGAUUAUAUAAGGCGCCACGAAAUCAACUGGAUUUAAGAGCAUCACCGGAGAGAAAAGGAUGAAGAGCGAUGCGAGAGGAAGUGGAUUGGAGGGAAAUGGCCAAAUAGGAAUUGCCUGGAUGCUGCGCAGUUGCAGCUGCUGUCGCGCUGAAGUAGGACGAACGUUCUCUCCGACUGCGUAAAUAAUAAACGAUUCCUCGCCAGCUGCAGUAACGCGAUAUACAAGCUGAAGCCGUGGAGAUUCUUUUUCGUAAGGCGAUUUGGACGACGGGCAGUUUACCCAUCCGCCAAGUUACCGAAAUUACCUGCGUGCGUGCUUCGAUCGACCGGUUCGAGGCUCGGCGACCAAUUUGCCGAUGAUUGAUGAUGAUAUCGCGCGACGCGUCGUAACUCGUUUACGGAGAUUGUUACGCGAAUGCGGAAAAAAUCACCGGACAUCCAACUAUUCUCCAAGUCUGAAUAGUGCGAGAUGAUUUUAACGCGGGAGUCUACGGAACGUAUAAUCAUGCUGGCGAAAAAGAAUCGUUAAUCAAAACUGAAAGUCGCUUUUGACGGAAGUUUGAGCAAACUUCGCGUAUAUAGCAAACUCAACGAUCAUCUCCGCGAGGCAGAUCGGCGUACCGCGUAUUCACCGCACGAGGGAGAAAUUAUUCAAAAACUUGGGCUAGAACAAGCGCGCACCACCGCGAUAUCGAUAAUACUUUCUUGACAACAACGUAAUAUCGCGCUUAAGAAUUUUUCGUACAAGAUGCCUGAACGGGAUUUGUAUUUAUCCGCGACGCGAUAUCAUCAUCGAGACAGAAAUAAACACAGCCCGCAUCGUAUCACUCGGGUACAUUUUGUGCAAUAAAAAAUGUAAAAUUAUUCGCAUUAUAUUAUAAAAAUUUUCACUCACAUUAAACGCAAUUUCUAAUAGGAAAAAAUGGGAAAAAAAAUAAUACUCAAUAUUUUGCGAAUUCUUUGAGCCAAUGUUCGCCUUGACAGAAUAAAAAUAAU